GGGAUAACACUUGGAAACAGGUGCUAAUACCGCAUAACCAUAGUUACCGCAUGGUAACUAUGUAAAAGGUGGCUAUGCUACCGCUUUUGGAUGGGCCCGCGGCGCAUUAGCUAGUUGGUGGGGUAAAGGCUUACCAAGGCAAUGAUGCGUAGCCGAACUGAGAGGUUGAUCGGCCACAUUGGGACUGAGACACGGCCCAAACUCCUACGGGAGGCAGCAGUAGGGAAUCUUCCACAAUGGGCGAAAGCCUGAUGGAGCAACGCCGCGUGGGUGAAGAAGGUCUUCGGAUCGUAAAACCCUGUUGUUAGAGAAGAAAGUGCGUGAGAGUAACUGUUCACGUUUCGACGGUAUCUAACCAGAAAGCCACGGCUAACUACGUGCCAGCAGCCGCGGUAAUACGUAGGUGGCAAGCGUUAUCCGGAUUUAUUGGGCGUAAAGGGAACGCAGGCGGUCUUUUAAGUCUGAUGUGAAAGCCUUCGGCUUAACCGGAGUAGUGCAUUGGAAACUGGGAGACUUGAGUGCAGAAGAGGAGAGUGGAACUCCAUGUGUAGCGGUGAAAUGCGUAGAUAUAUGGAAGAACACCAGUGGCGAAAGCGGCUCUCUGGUCUGUAACUGACGCUGAGGUUCGAAAGCGUGGGUAGCAAACAGGAUUAGAUACCUUGGUAGUCCACGCCGUAAAC
RNAcentral lists this ribosomal RNA (680 nucleotides) under uncultured bacterium. RNAcentral's name for it is "bacterial SSU rRNA". It matches the Rfam family "Bacterial small subunit ribosomal RNA", at positions 140 to 807 of the family's 1533-position model. The record is from RNAcentral.